UUUUUUAAAUUUAUUUAAAUAAAAAUCCCGCAAAACACCCCGAAUCCUUCGUCGGCGCUCCUCACCCAUCCCCUCCGAAUCCUUCAUUCGCGGCGCCUCUCGCCCUUGCACCGCCGUACCCGAAGCUCCAUCACACCCUUUCCCCAAUCUCUCCGUCACACCCCUUCCCCAAUCUCUCUCUUUCAGUUUUGACGCCGAUGAAUUUCGCCACCCUCUCGACGCCGUUUUCUGCCGCUGCUCGCUGAAGCUCGUCAGCACCGUCGCCGCUUCUAUCUCUUCUUCUCGUCGCCGUUCGUUCAGAGACAGAGAUGGCAAGCUUUCUGUGAAGGAACUCCAGCCCGCUGAUUCUGAUCAAAUCUAUUCUCAGGCAGCGAAUCCUUGAGAAUUUGAUUGGUUUGUGAAGGGUGUGAUAUUGAAUUAUACAGCCUUCAUCUCGAGGUCGGUCCUUUCUUUUUUGUUUAGUAGGAGUAGUUAAAAAAUAUGGAAGAAGAUAACUUGCAGCGGCAAUGGUCCCUCAAAGACUUCGGGAUCAGAAAACCUCUUUGGCAGAGGAAAAUUUGGCAGAGUCUACAUUGCGAGAGAAGUCAAGAGCAAAUAUGUAGUUGCAUUGAAGAUUAUAUUCAAGGAACAACUUGAGAAGUACAGACUUCACCAUCAGGUAAGGAGGGAGAUGGAAAUACAAUCCAACCUUCACCACCCAAACAUCCUACGACUAUACACGGCUGGUUUCAUGAUGCCGAGCGUGUUUUCUUGGUUCUUGAAUAUGCCCAUAAUGGUGAGCUCUACAAGGAGCUUAGAAAAAGAGGCCACCUCACUGAGAUGCAAGCAGCCACGAGAUGUGAGAGCCAUUUCAUCGUCAGCAGAUGGAUCAUGCAUCUAUACUGCAGAUGGGAAGAUUAGUAAUGUUUUUUAACUUCAUGGGCCGGGCCGGGCCGGGUUUAAGUAGAACUAGACUCGGCCCUAAAAGACCACUGGGUCUAUUUUGACUCCGACCCGAAGUGAUCUGAAAAUAAAUUGGGUUAAACAGGAUCAAUUUGAUAUAA
Long non-coding RNA from Arachis duranensis, 1043 nucleotides. RefSeq lists it as uncharacterized. The record is from RefSeq and is a predicted model, not a curated record. The transcript has 6 exons. NCBI's taxonomy places the organism in Eukaryota, Viridiplantae, Streptophyta, Magnoliopsida, Fabales, Fabaceae.